CGAUAACGAACGCCUCGAUAACGAACGCGCCUUAACCUGUUAAUAACCAGGCCGGCUUUUUGUGGUCGCAGGCUUUUUAGAGAGGGUGUCUGGGUUCACUGACGGAAGUUUGAGGCAAUAACAGGUCUGUGAUGCCCUUAGAUGUUUUGGGCCGCACGCGCGCUACACUGACAGAGCCAGCGAGUUUUUUUCCUUGGCCGGAAGGUCUGGGUAAUCUUGUGAAACUCUGUCGUGCUGGGGAUAGAGCAUUGCAAUUAUUGCUCUUCAACGAGGAAUACCUAGUAAGCGUAAGUCAUCAGCUCGCGUUGAUU
This 311-nucleotide ribosomal RNA is filed under the name uncultured fungus. Its description in RNAcentral is "bacterial SSU rRNA". It matches the Rfam family "Eukaryotic small subunit ribosomal RNA", at positions 1326 to 1646 of the family's 1831-position model. The record is from RNAcentral. Lineage: Eukaryota; Fungi.